GCUCUCUCUGUUAGGGGGUUGGUAUUAUCAUCAUCUCUCUUAGGGGGUUGGUAUUAUCAUCAUCUCUCUCUUUUAGGGGGUUGGUAUUAUCAUCAUCUCUCUCUGUUAGGGGGUUGGUAUUAUCAUCAUCUCUCUCUGUUAGGGGGUUGGUAUUAUCAUCUCUCUCUGUUAGGGGGUUGGUAUUAUUAUCUCUCUCUCUCUGUUAGGGGGUUGGUAUUAUCAUCAUCUCUCUCUCUGUUAGGGGGUUGGUAUUAUCAUCAUCUCUCUCUGUUAGGGGGUUGGUAUUAUCAUCAUCUCUCUCUCUGUUAGGGGAUGGUAUUAUCAUCAUCUCUCUCUCUGUUAGGGGGUUGGUAUUAUCAUCAUCUCUCUCUGUUAGGGGGUUGGUAUUAUCAUCAUCUCUCUCUCUGUUAGGGGGUUGGUAUUAUCAUCAUCUCUCUCUCUGUUAGGAGGUUGGUAUUAUUAUCAUCUCUCUCUGUUAGGGGGUUGGUAUUAUCAUCAUCUCUCUCUGUUAGGGGGUUGGUAUUAUCAUCUCUCUCUGUUA
Molecule: long non-coding RNA, 541 nt
Filed under: Salmo salar (Atlantic salmon)
Lineage: Eukaryota; Metazoa; Chordata; Actinopteri; Salmoniformes; Salmonidae
Description: lncRNA (ENSSSAG00000091690.1)
Source: RNAcentral